AUUUAUGGCCAUGCCACCCUGAACAAGCCCGAUCCCGUCUGAUCUCGGAAGAUAAGCAGGGUCAGGCCUGGUUAGUACUUGGAUGGAAGAUCACCUAGGAAGACCAGGUGCUGUAGGCG
Molecule: ribosomal RNA, 119 nt
Filed under: Pteropus alecto (black flying fox)
Lineage: Eukaryota; Metazoa; Chordata; Mammalia; Chiroptera; Pteropodidae
Source: RNAcentral